RNAcentral lists this long non-coding RNA (699 nucleotides) under Homo sapiens (human). RNAcentral's name for it is "non-protein coding lnc-ENDOU-4:2". The record is from RNAcentral. Lineage: Eukaryota; Metazoa; Chordata; Mammalia; Primates; Hominidae.
CCAGUAGAAGAGGCGAGGAUAGAGUUGGGGGUGGAACCUCCCACCUCCAGGAACUUUUGAGGAUUUUGAGGGUUUUGACUAUUCUGGAGAGAAGCAGAGAAGAGGUACUUCAUCAGCAUAGCCUGGGAGCUCUUGAGAGAAAAUCCACCUCGUGGGGCUCAAGGGAUUCAAAGGAGUUUACUCUGCAGAGAGAGAGAGGGAGGGACACAGAAAGAGACAGGGAUAGAAAGGGACAGAGAGGUGACAGUGACAGACUUUUCCAAGAAACCUGGGGCCCCUGUGACUAACUGCUGUGAAUUUUCUCAGUGCUAAUGGGAGGUUGGAAGCCCCGUGUUCGCCUGUGACAGAGCCUGGGUGAGACCUGGGGCUGAGGAGAGGCUGAGUUGGGGCCUCUGCACCUGCUGUGGGAUGGGCAUGUGGCCCCUCCUUGGUUGGGUGGGGUCUGUGGUGGCUUAUGGUGUGUGCAACCCCCUCAGUGUGGCUUCUUCCCCUAGGAUCCCUCAUGGAACCACCGGGUAUACCGACUGGCCCUCGCCAAGCUCUCCCCUCCUGUCAUCCCCUUCAUGCCCCUUCUUCUCAAAGACAUGACCUUCAUUCAUGAGGGAAACCACACACUAGUGGAGAAUCUCAUCAACUUUGAGAAGAUGAGAAUGAUGGCCAGAGCCGCGCGGAUGCUGCACCACUGCCGAAGCCACAACC